Long non-coding RNA from Neofelis nebulosa (Clouded leopard), 1253 nucleotides. RefSeq lists it as uncharacterized. The record is from RefSeq and is a predicted model, not a curated record. The transcript has 5 exons. Lineage: Eukaryota; Metazoa; Chordata; Mammalia; Carnivora; Felidae.
GAGUACCUCUCCUGUGGGUGACCGCAUAAUGCCAUGACAAGACAAAGUGGGAGAGGGAGACUGCAUGCCACAUGCAGGCUUAUAUAGGUCAGGGAUGGGGCAGUGUGGGGACGGCAGAGAGACGGGGAGAGGGCAUUUUGUGGGCAACCAUAACUCUGGGAGCAUGUGGCUUAAAAUCGUAUCUGCCGUGGAAGGGACCUUGCUGAUCGCGGUGUGCAACUGGCUAACCUUCUAUUCGGAGAUCAGAAGCCACAGUCUACUGAAAUAAUCAGUCUCUCUGUUGACUAUCCAAAGUCCUUGCGUAGUAGCCUCCUCAUUGAUUGAAGACCUUUCAACUCUUUGGCCUCCAAAAGCAAGCCUGAAGUGACUCACCGUUCCAAAAAACUUGGGCUUGGCUGGUGAUAAGAGGGUUUCAAAAAUAUUAGUAAUUGUUAAUAUCAUCUUCUGGAACAAAGCACUUCCCAGUAAAGACGGCAGGGAGAUUCCAUCAAGAUAAUGGAUUAAAACCGAGGAACAAAAAAACCUCAGCUCCAUGUAGGAUGGUGAUGGGAUCUGAAACUCAACUAUCUGAAGAAUGAUUAAAGAAAGAUCCAGGGUUUAAUUAAGAGAGGUAGACGGGUGCCUUCAAACAACCAAAAGACUGUGAUGUGGGAGGGAUAUUUUACAGUUGAAACACACAAACAGGUUGUUUAGCUGAUGACGCUCUCUGUCGUCAGAUGGAGAUCAGCAGCUGUGCAAAUUCCAUGCUGCUUUCAGGGCUGAGCUGGAGCUCAGAGAUGUAAACAGUGUGAGCUGGUCACACCACGUGCAAAGGCCCGCCCAAUCCCCUACCGCUCUUCCAGAGAAGUUCCAGGCUUCCCAGAGCCCAGGAGAGAGCAACCACAUCAGGGCUUCCGGGCCCAUCAGAGUCCAGGGGCCUCCUGAACAGCUACUAAUUUGGCUCUCAAAGGCAGAAUGCUCACUUCGAAAACAAAAAGGACCCCAGCUUUGUUAGAAGACUGAUGGAUGAAAGAUCUAUCUCCUGGGCUAGACUCACUACGGGCAAGAACUGAAAUUUUAAGAAGCUAAAAAGAACUAACAUGCAGUGAGAAAUAUGAAUGCUCCCAUGGAACACUCUCUACUAUGGCAGACCUACGGGAUGUCUUAGCUCAUCAGCCCAAGACCAACAGGAACAGAUCUGACAUCUAAAAAAAAAAAAAAAUCACAUUUCUCACAAUGUAAAAGCAUUGUAAUGUGAAAGGCUGAACUCCAGA